Molecule: long non-coding RNA, 2898 nt
Organism: Ostrea edulis (European flat oyster)
Lineage: Eukaryota; Metazoa; Mollusca; Bivalvia; Ostreida; Ostreidae
Exons: 2
Source: RefSeq, a predicted model, not a curated record
UGAUUUAAUUGGGGUGCAGUGAAUACUUCUUCCGUAUAUAUAUUUCUUUACAUUAAAAGCGGUUAUCUAACAUAGUUUUAUUAGGAUUAAUUUUCUUGUUUUUGUACAUAAUAAAAAAUAAAUGUUCUUAUUAGUCAUCAAUAUGUAUUUCAAUAUCAUCGAGAGAUUUUGAGAAAAAAAUAGUUGCCAUCACUUUCACAGCUAAUGCCCCUUUAAAGUAAGAUGUAAGUGCACAGGUAUCUGAAUUUUAAUCUAAUUAUUUCAAUUAUUUAUUGAUUCACCAAGCAUGUUGGCAUACAAUCAUGUUACACAAUAUGAGAUAUAUAAUGACAAUAAACUAAUUACUAACAGUUCAUUUACAUAUAUGUAAAUACAAGUAUAUAUUUGAUAUGUACCUGUGAUAUUAGACUAUGUAUACAAUUUAGUAUUGCAUAUUACAUAAAUUAAAUGUAGUUAUAGCACUCUACUUUUGGUGCGCAAUUCAAAACAUUCAUGUAAAAAUUAAAUGUAGUUAUAGCACUCUACUUUUGGUGCGCAAUUCAAAACAUUCAUGUAAAAAUUCAAAAAACCUUCUAGCAUGAACUACAUUGACAGGGUUGCAUAGUACUUUACAAUGGUUUUCCUUUGAUAUAGCAUCGUGUGAAUUGUAGAUGUUCAAAGGGUAAUAGUUAAUUAGAAAAAAAAUGUGAAGAAUUUUUUUUUUAUAUCUAAAUAAAUGGAGAGAGAGAGAGAGAGAGAGAGAGAGAGAGAGAGAUUUCUUUUCUUUAUUUACAUGUAUAUCUGUUGAUUACAGUUCAGAUACUGGGUUUGUGAGUUGAAAUUAAUCAAAUGAGAGUGGUAAAAAUCCACCUUUAUAUGUAUAAUUUACAUAUCAGGAUUUUAUCCAGGUACGUUAUUCUGGUUUGUGGAAUGCUAAUUUAUACUAAGUUAGAAUAAUCUAAGCUGUAUACCAAAGUAGGUCUUCAUGGGGCUUUACGGCUCUAUGCAUCGUAAAUAGAGAUCGGGUUCAAUGCGUCGGGUGUGGGAUUCACACAAUAUAUGCUGAGCGCGAAAGUUGAUAUUGACAGGCGCCAUAAUGUUAUACCGGUAAACAACAUUUUGAACAUGAAUCGAGAACAGGAGUUGAAUCAGUUGAUGCAGAUAUUCUGAGGAGAAUCUUCCAGUCAUUGAAAUAUAUUUCAUGAUAGUCAUGCAGAUUCAGAAGUUGUGAUGGUGUGUUGAUAGGCUGUCUUCAACUUGCCAUAUCUUAGAGUUCCAACAUGCAGGCCUGGAUUAAUGUGUAUAAAUCACUAAUGAAAAAAAGAAUGACAUUUCGAUUUAUACACACUUGCCAAGUGAAUCUGAUGAGACUGCUACAUGUAUUUGUGAGUAAAGGCACUCUGUCUUAACCAAAAAACUAUUUACAGUUUAUCACAACAAAUGGAUGGGACAGUAGAGCUGUUGCGGACAAUAUGUGAUUGUGAUGACCAAGUACUGAACAAGUGGAAGAUUAGAAGAAGGUCCAGAAUUCAAUCAUGUUUUUUAUUCUAAGGUGCACACAGCAUGGAGAUAGUCCUAUUAUUCUCUCAUUCAUCUAUGAUGGAGAAACUUGUGUAAAUGUUUAGUGUUCUCCCUAAGAAUUAAAUGCCCACAAGUCUGUAUUAAUUUAUCAGAAUAUAAAGUCCUUCACAGUACUGAUUUUAAAAUUAAUGUAGAGUGUCUCCAGAUUUUUCUGAGGAAAAGUGCAUAGUUUACAAGUGUGAAUUUUGAAUAUAUUUCAUUCUUGUCUGCAAAUGUUGCCGAAACGUGUUGUUAUUGAUGCACAGUCAUGUUAUGCAAAUGAUAGACCUUCUUAAUUACAUGUACAGAAGAUCAUGUCAACUCCUUUGUCUUAAUUGUAUACACAAUUCUAGCAUUUAUAGCAUCAUUUAUAUAGCACUUGCUAGUUUAAGAAGGAUUUUAUUUUCUAAAAGCUUUCAUUUGACAUGAUUGAUCUAAAACGGCCAAAAUUCACAAAUCUAUUUAAAUCACAACCUGACCUUAUGUCAGAAAAGUGCCACUGUGGGUUGAUAUUUUUCUCUUGGAUCUUGAAAGAAAUUCUUUAUGCAGCAGUUUCCAAAUAAAAUGUACUCUCAUGGCCAGGGUGGGACUUCACCGAGAACUUUUUAACAUUGCACAAUGCAAUAUUUGUAGAUUAGAAGUUGUUGCAGUUUCUUUAAGUUUUCUCUCACAUCUUGUUAUAAUUAUAUUUUUGGUUGGGUUGCACAAUGUGCAAACAGUUUAUAAAAUGGUGAAUUACUCAGUGGUGGGCAAGCGACAGUAGCGUCCCUGUAAUAGUACCUACUUUGUGUAAUCAACUCCUUUCACACCUCUCACUUGAUGUUCCUUAAACUUUGUACAGUUGUUAGGGAUACAUUGAAGAUGUGCAUGUGCCUUUUUGAAAGUGAUCAGACAUUUUUUGAAAAAUUUACAUGUAGUUGAACUUCGUCAUUUUUAAGCAUUUCUUUAAUCGACAGUACCUAUUUUGUGUAAUCAACUCCUGGUAUACCUCUAACUUGACAUUCCUCAAACUGUGUACAUUUGUUUUGAACACAUUGAAAAUGUGCAUAUGUGUUUUUGAAAGUGAUCAGACAUUUAAAAAAAAAUGUAUAUGUAGUUGAACUUAGUCAUUUUUAAGCAUUUCUUGAAUAGAUGGUAACUAUUUUGUGUAAUCAAAUCUUCAUGCACCUCUAACUUGACAUUCCUUAAACUUUGUACAGUUGUUAUGAACACAUUGAAGAUGUGCAUGCAUCUUUUUGAAAAUGAUUAGACUUUUUAAAAAAAAAAUUAUGUGUAGUUGAACUUGGUCAUUUUUAUGCAUUUCUUGAAUAGAUGGUACCUAUUUUGUGUGAUCAACUCGUGCACAUCUAAAUUGAUAUU